RNAcentral lists this ribosomal RNA (623 nucleotides) under uncultured marine group III euryarchaeote. RNAcentral describes it as "bacterial SSU rRNA". It matches the Rfam family "Archaeal small subunit ribosomal RNA", at positions 1 to 629 of the family's 1478-position model. The record is from RNAcentral. Lineage: Archaea; Methanobacteriati; Thermoplasmatota; Thermoplasmata; Candidatus Thermoprofundales.
UCCGGUUGAUCCUGCCGAAGGCUACUGCUAUUGGAGUUCGAUUAAGCCAUGCGAGUCUAAGGGAUCUUCGGAUCCCUGGCGUAAUGCUCAGUAACACGUGGAUAAUCUACCCUCAGGUGGGGCAUAAACCCGGGAAACUGGGGCCAAUUCCCCAUAAAUACAGAUGGCUGGAAUGCUUCUGUAUUCAAAGCUCCGGCGCCUGAGGAUGAGUCUGCGGCCUAUCAGGUUGUAGUCAGGGUCAUGACCUGACUAGCCAGCGACGGGUAUGGGGUGUGAGAGCACUUGCCCAGAGAUGGUUUCUGAGACACGAAACCAGGCCCUACGGGGCGCAGCAGGCGCGAAAACUUCGCAAUGCGGGAAACCGUGACGAGGGAACUCCAAGUGUCUAUGCAUUGCAUAGACUGUUUUUUAGCCUAAAUAGCUAUUAGAGUAAGGGGUGGGUAAGACCGGUGCCAGCCGCCGCGGUAACACCGGCACCCCGAGUGGUAGCCACUAUUAUUGGGCCUAAAGCGUUCGUAGCCGGUUUGGUAAAUUCUUGGGUAAAUCGUACCGCUUAACGGUGCGGAUUCCGGGGACACUACCAGACUUGAGACCGGGGGAGAUCAGAGGUACUUGCGGGGGAG